GCACUGGAUGAAGGUUUCACCGUUAUGCUUCAGUGCUGCGUCCUGAAGGAGAGCGACGGCAGGGAUGCAGACAGUGC
This 77-nucleotide small RNA is filed under the name Desertifilum tharense IPPAS B-1220. RNAcentral's name for it is "Desertifilum sp. IPPAS B-1220 CyVA-1 RNA". It matches the Rfam family "CyVA-1 RNA". From Rfam's summary of the family: Cyanobacteria, Acidobacteria (1 example), Verrucomicrobia (1 example). Big IGRs The record is from Rfam by way of RNAcentral. Lineage: Bacteria; Bacillati; Cyanobacteriota; Cyanophyceae; Desertifilales; Desertifilaceae.